RNAcentral lists this ribosomal RNA (381 nucleotides) under uncultured bacterium. RNAcentral describes it as "bacterial SSU rRNA". It matches the Rfam family "Bacterial small subunit ribosomal RNA", at positions 28 to 409 of the family's 1533-position model. The record is from RNAcentral.
GACGAACGCUGGCGGCGUGCUUAACACAUGCAAGUCGAGCGGUAAGGCCCUUUCGGGGGUACACGAGCGGCGAACGGGUGAGUAACACGUGGGUGACCUGCCUUUAGCUCUGGGAUAAGCCUGGGAAACUGGGUCUAAUACCGGAUACGACUCCGCGGUGCAUGCUGUGGGGUGGAAAGCCUUGUGCGGCUGGAGAUGGGCCCGCGGCCUAUCAGCUUGUUGGUGGGGUGAUGGCCACCAAGGCGACGACGGGUAGCCGGCCUGAGAGGGCGACCGGCCACACUGGGACUGAGACACGGCCCAGACUCCUACGGGAGGCAGCAGUGGGGAAUCUUGCGCAAGUGGGACGAAAGCCUGACGCAGCGACGCCGCGUGAGGGAU